Molecule: non-coding RNA, 241 nt
Filed under: Enterococcus durans
Lineage: Bacteria; Bacillati; Bacillota; Bacilli; Lactobacillales; Enterococcaceae
Description: T-box sequence
Rfam family: T-box leader
About the family: Uncharged tRNA acts as the effector for transcription antitermination of genes in the T-box leader family. T-boxes are found upstream of many aminoacyl-tRNA synthetase genes and some amino acid biosynthetic genes usually in Gram-positive bacteria.
Source: RNAcentral
AAAAAAUCAUUGAUAGAGAGAGUAACUGAUAGAUGGAGAUAAAGAGAGCGAUUGGGUGGUGUGAAAUCGUAUUUCCUCUAUAAGUGAAAGUAGCUCUGGAGAUGCACAGGUGACGUAAGAAGUUUGUGACGGUGAUCCCCGUUAUCGGAUAAUGCGCUUAAUUUUUUAAUGAGUCGCUGAGAGAUUGUUUGAUUUUUCAAACAAAAAAACGGUGGUACCGCAAUUGACUAUUGCCCGUUGG